Pogoniulus pusillus (Red-fronted tinkerbird) is the source of this 5917-nucleotide RNA transcript. It is a transcript of the gene named transient receptor potential cation channel subfamily C member 5, with no coding region annotated. Lineage: Eukaryota; Metazoa; Chordata; Aves; Piciformes; Lybiidae. The record is from RefSeq and is a predicted model, not a curated record. The transcript has 12 exons.
GAGUGCGAGGGGCGCUGCGUGUGCCUAGGCGCGACGCUCCGCUCCUGAUCGGGCUCAGCUGCCGCUAAGGGGAGCGUUCAGAGGCGGCGGGGGCGGCGAGAAGCACCGCUGAGACUCGGCUUCAUUUUUCUGAAGACAGCUUGAAGCCCUGCCCGGCGCCUGCCCGCUGUUGGGGCGAGGAGCGCGAUGUCGCGCCCGCCCUGCCCUGCCUGCCGCCGGUCCCGCGGCUCCGCGCCGCCGGCAGCGGCGUAGGGCUCUUGCUUGGGGCUGGGCAGCGACUGGGCGGCGCGGCAAUGGGGGCUGCCGCCCCCCGCGGCAAUCGGCGCGGAGCGGAUUACAGAUGAGCGUCGCGGCCCGGCGCCCCGGGCCCGCGGGCACCCCGGCAUGUAGAGCCUGACGGAGCGGCGCGGAGGUUGCCCAGUCACUAUGAACCAUGGCCCAGCUAUACUACAAAAAGGUAAACUACUCACCGUACCGAGACCGGAUCCCGUUACAGAUCGUGCGAGCAGAGGCAGAGCUCUCAGUUGAAGAGAAGGCCUACCUCAGCGCUGUGGAGAAGGGGGACUAUGCCAGUGUGAAACAUGCCUUGCAAGAGGCAGAGAUCUACUACAACAUCAACAUUAACUGUAUGGAUCCUCUUGGUCGCAGUGCCCUUUUAAUAGCCAUAGAGAAUGAAAACCUGGAGAUCAUGGAGCUGCUUUUGAGCCACAGUGUGUAUGUGGGAGAUGCUCUGCUGUAUGCAAUACGGAAAGAGGUGGUGGGAGCCGUGGAGCUGCUGCUGAACUACAGGAAGCCGAGUGGUGAAAAACAGGUUCCAACCUUGAUGAUGGACACUCAGUUUUCAGAAUUCACUCCAGAUAUCACCCCAAUAAUGCUGGCGGCUCACACCAACAACUAUGAAAUCAUCAAACUGCUUGUCCAAAGACGGGUAACGAUUCCACGCCCACACCAGAUCAGAUGCAACUGUGUGGAAUGUGUUUCCAGUUCAGAGGUGGACAGCCUGAGGCAUUCCAGGUCAAGGCUGAACAUCUACAAAGCCUUAGCCAGCCCUUCGUUGAUUGCCUUAUCAAGUGAGGACCCCAUCUUGACGGCCUUCCGACUGGGCUGGGAGCUGAAGGAGCUCAGCAAAGUGGAAAAUGAGUUCAAGGCUGAAUAUGAAGAACUUUCGCAGCAGUGCAAGCGUUUUGCUAAGGACCUUUUGGAUCAAGCACGGAGUUCUCGAGAAUUGGAGAUCAUUCUCAACCACAGAGAUGAUCAAAGUGAAGAGCUGGAUCCUCAAAAAUGUCAUGACUUGGCAAAGUUAAAGGUAGCAAUAAAGUAUCACCAGAAAGAGUUUGUUGCUCAGCCAAACUGCCAGCAGCUACUAGCAACACUUUGGUACGAUGGUUUUCCAGGAUGGAGGCGGAAGCACUGGGCAGUAAAACUCUUGACCUGUGUCACCAUUGGGCUACUAUUUCCUGUGCUAUCUGUGGCGUAUCUGAUUGCACCGAAGAGCAGGCUGGGACUGUUCAUUAAAAAGCCAUUUAUAAAGUUUAUCUGCCACACCGGCUCUUACCUGACCUUCCUCUUCAUGCUCCUGCUGGCAUCGCAGCACAUUGUCAGGACUGACCUUCAUAUGCAGGGACCACCUCCCACCAUCGUGGAGUGGAUGAUCCUGCCCUGGGUUCUAGGUUUUAUCUGGGGAGAAAUCAAGGAAAUGUGGGACGGUGGAUUCAAUGAGUAUGUACAUGACUGGUGGAAUCUGAUGGAUUUUGCAAUGAACUCCCUCUAUCUUGCAACUAUCUCCCUUAAAAUUGUUGCCUAUGUCAAGUAUAACGGUUCUCGUCCGAGGGAGGAAUGGGAAAUGUGGCACCCAACUCUCAUUGCAGAAGCCCUCUUUGCAAUAUCCAACAUUUUGAGUUCUUUGCGUCUCAUAUCCCUGUUUACAGCAAAUUCACACCUGGGACCCUUGCAGAUUUCUCUGGGACGCAUGCUGCUAGACAUCCUUAAGUUCCUUUUUAUCUACUGUCUGGUGCUGCUGGCUUUUGCCAAUGGACUGAACCAGCUUUAUUUUUAUUACGAGACCAGUGCCUCGGAGGAACCCAACAACUGCAAGGGGAUCCGAUGUGAGAAACAGAACAAUGCUUUCUCCACACUUUUCGAGACCCUUCAGUCACUCUUCUGGUCUGUGUUUGGGCUGCUGAAUCUCUACGUCACCAACGUGAAAGCCAGACAUGAGUUCACAGAAUUUGUUGGGGCCACUAUGUUUGGGACCUACAACGUCAUCUCUCUUGUUGUGCUGCUGAACAUGCUCAUAGCCAUGAUGAACAACUCCUACCAGCUCAUUGCUGACCAUGCAGAUAUUGAGUGGAAGUUUGCACGAACGAAGCUCUGGAUGAGUUAUUUUGAUGAAGGUGCCACUCUGCCCCCUCCUUUUAACAUUGUCCCCAGUCCGAAGUCAGUCUGGUACCUUUGCAAGUGGAUUCACAAUCAGCUGUGCCCUGGCAACGAUUCUUACAACGAACAGAAGAGGCAUGAAAACCUUAAAACAUUCACAGAGCGGCACGCUGACAACCUGAUUCAGAAUCAACAUUACCAGGAAGUGAUAAGAAAUCUUGUGAAAAGGUAUGUCGCAGCAAUGAUAAGAACCUCCAAAACCAACGAAGGUUUAACUGAAGAAAAUUUCAAGGAGUUAAAACAGGAUAUCUCAAGUUUUCGCUAUGAAGUUCUUGAUCUCUUAGGAAAUAGAAAGCCCCAGAGGAGAAGUUAUUCCACCAGCAGCACAGAGGUGUCACAAAAGGAUGAAGCAAAUGAGGAAGGUGCUGGGGAAAAAUCUAAAGCCAAGAGUGUGUCUUUCAAUGUAGCCAACAAAAAAAAGGACUUCAAUGUAUCUGCUCUGAUUAAAACCAUGUCUGGGAUCGAUAUGGUGGAGCAGAAGCCAAAAAGCAAUGGGAUUGGUAAGCGCUCCUUUGUCCGGAAUGGAAAUAGAGUCCAGAGACUUUCCAGCUCCAAGAAGGAGUCCUUUAAGAGACUGGGCCUGCUUUUCUCCAAGAUGAAUGGACAUGUACCUGAACCAAAUUCAGAACCCAUGUACACUAUUUCAGAUGGAAUUAUUCAGCCACAUUACAUGUGGAAAGACAUUAAAUAUUCUCAAAUUGAUAAAGAGAAAGAAGAGAAUUGUUCCAAAAGUGAAAUUAACCUCAAUGAGGUGGGCUACAGUGGGAACACAAGACUUACAGGACAGAGCAAGGAGUGCCCUGUGGUUUGUACCAGCUCCCUUCACUGUGCUUCCAGUAUUUGUUCCUCUAAUUCCAAACUUAUAGACUCGUCUGAGGAUGUGUUUGAUUCAUGGGGAGAGGCUUGUGACUUGUUUAUAAACCAGUGGAAAGAUGGGCAAGAGGACCAUGUUACCACUCGGCUAUAAGCAGAGCUAUAUUCACACAGCUAACUGUUUCUCAUUGUUUGCUCUCAUCCCAUUCAGCCUUUCUGUUUCCUUUCUGUCCACGGGUGCAAAAGUGUAAAACUCUGUUAAUCAGUUUUCCAGCUAUCUGCACCUUUUAGAAUUUACUUUCUUUUUUACACUCAAAUGCUAAACUAAAUGUUUCACCAUUUACAAGCUUGCUGUAAGCCACAGGAAUCCCUUCAGAUGCACUUGGUUGUCAGACCCCACAGACUUCAGACAUGCUGGUGGCCGAGUGAAGGAUUUCUCCAGUGCUCUCAUCAUACCACUGCCACUCUCCAACAUCAUCAGCUCUGCCUCCUACUCGGCUUUCCUCGUCAACACAACCAGCUGGGCCAGCGCUGCAGUCAGCCAGCUGCACCCAAUUCUUAAAGCAGCUCACAAGAAAAGACUAAACCAAACUGAGCAGGUUUGCAGAAAGACAAAAGGUAGCAAGAGCUGGUACAGGGGGAUGAAGGAGUGCAGUUGAAUUGUUUUAGACCUCACCUACCCAGACUGCAGUUCCUGACCUCUGCUUUACGUGGGGCCAGCAAAUCUUUGUGGCGUUUCCUGCGUAAAGGGUAAGAAUGAAAACAAUUCAAGUAUGGUUACACAGAUUACAUCAGCUGCCUUUGAGACUGGGGCAGAAGCAGGGUUUGGGUGCUUGGACAGUAGAAAGUUUUCUGCAAGUGCAAGCACACUGGUGGUGAUGAUACUGCAUCGUUCAAACAUAGCACUGUAUUGACAAGUAACAAAAUGAAAUGCAAUUAAUUCUGCUGUGGUGUCCCCCAAAAAAUGACACAAGGCAGCACAAAUACCUUCUGAGCAAACUGCAAGAUCUGUUCCCCUGCUGCAUCCUGAAAGUGGGAGUAGGAAUGGCCAUGUUGGAAUGUCCUGAUGGAUAAUGCAGGAAUCUUCCGGUAAUGUUGGUAAAGGCAAGAGGUACAGCUCAUGGCUGCUUGGCUGGGGCUCCCCUGGGAUUUGCUUCAUGACUCAGUUUCUAGCUCCCAGCUGUGAGCGAGCUUGAGCUGCCUGGAAUUUAACGCCAAUAUUUGAUUUGGCUGUGAUUAAUACUUGUGUCCAGGAGUUUGCAAAGCUGUCAGAUUGAGCCCCCAAAAGGCAAAAUGCUGUUUGAUUGUAUCUAUGCAUCCCCUUUAGUAGCAAUAGACAUUAGAGCAGCUGGUGAAUUAUUACUCUACAACAGGAGCUUCAGGGAAGGGAAAUUAAAAUAUCUUGUGAAAAAUACAUUUGAUAAGCAAAAUUGUGGGGUUUAAAAAAAUUCACUUGCAGUCACAGUAUUUGGGUUUUCACUGGCAUUCUUCCAUUUUCAGUUGCUCAGGAAGAAAACAGGUUUUAGUGAAAAUUACUCUUUCUUUCAGAGAAAUAAAUGAACUACCCCUGUGCUGUCUGUGCAGGCAGACCAGGGAGGAAGCUGAUGGGACACUUGGAGCUCCUGUGAGGAGUCAAAACCUUCCCUUAGCUUGGGUUGAGGAUGUACAUCUGUGGUCCAACUGGUGCACACCUAGCCUGUAUUCCCUGGGCUUCAGUAAUAAGCCUGAUACAUGUGCAAGGAAUUAGGAAUAGAGAUCUCAACCACUUUACCUUUCUUUAAGUUUCUUGCUCUUGAAGUUGUUUUAUUUCUCUUCUCCCAUCCCUCAUAUCAUUUUCACCUGGCUUUUUCAAGCAGCACCCCACAAAUGAUCACCAGUCAAGAAGCUGAAAAAUAGGCAGGGUUAAGAAUCUCCAACAGAGCUAGAUGGUGUUUGUACUCAGGUCAGAGAUUAAAGAAGUUGCUUCAGAAACAAGAAAUCAACUGACAUAGCUGCAGAUAAUUUGGAUAACUGCAUUUGUGUAUUUCUCACUGACUGGUAUAUAUGUAAAUACUGCUGUACCAGUAUACGUGGCCCCUCCAGAGGAAGCAUGCAGAGCAGCUGGAGCACAGGAUUAGCCAACAGCACUUCUCAGCUCUGCGCCCACCUCUGCCACUGACUCACCUGUGACCUUGGGCAAGUCACUGAGCCUCCAAUGCCUCAGUUUCCUCAUCUGUAAAAUACGGAUAAUACUACUUACCUACCUCGUAGGGGGGGUUAGUUUAUUAGUUAGAAGCACUUUCAGAUCUUCAAAUUAAAGGCGCUAUAUACAGUGAGUAGUUAAUACUGGUAGCAGUAGUGUAGGUACUUUUAUUUUCUUACAAGUACUUCAGGUUAGGAUUUAACCUGUAACCAUUAGAAUAGUUUUCCAUGUAAAAAACCAGCAUGCAUUCCUGCAGAGGGACUUUAGGAGAUGUCUACAGUAGAGAAAGAGCAGCAGUGGUGUAUCCUGGAAGCCUGAACUCUUAAAACCCUUGCUUUUGUGAUUUAUGUCUCACUCUUAAUGUCACCUUACUGUAUUUGUGUUUCAUCUUUUUUCUGAUGGUACAUGUGAAAUAAUUUCUAGCAGAAACAGCCACUGUAAAUAGUAAGAGUAUUUAAAUAAAUAUAUUAAUGUAUAAAUAUACAA